ACCUUUCACAGAGGGAUAGCCCAGAGAAAUUUGGAUUAAUACCUCAUAGUAUAUUGGUCUCGCAUGAGAUCAUUAUUAAAGAUUUAUCGGUGAAAGAUGAGCAUGCGUCCCAUUAGUUAGUUGGUAAGGUAACGGCUUACCAAGACUACGAUGGGUAGGGGUCCUGAGAGGGAGAUCCCCCACACUGGUACUGAGACACGGACCAGACUCCUACGGGAGGCAGCAGUGAGGAAUAUUGGACAAUGGGCGCAAGCCUGAUCCAGCCAUGCCGCGUGCAGGAUGACGGUCCUAUGGAUUGUAAACUGCUUUUAUACGAGAAGAAACACUGGUUCGUGAACCAGCUUGACGGUAUCGUAAGAAUAAGGAUCGGCUAACUCCGUGCCAGCAGCCGCGGUAAUACGGAGGAUCCAAGCGUUAUCCGGAAUCAUUGGGUUUAAAGGGUCCGUAGGCGGUCAGAUAAGUCAGUGGUGAAAGCCCAUCGCUCAACGGUGGAACGGCCAUUGAUACUGUCUGACUUGAAUUAUUAGGAAGUAACUAGAAUAUGUAGUGUAGCGGUGAAAUGCUUAGAGAUUACAUGGAAUACCAAUUGCGAAGGCAGGUUACUACUAAUAUAUUGACGCUGAUGGACGAAAGCGUGGGUAGCGAACAGGAUUAGAUACCCUGGUAGUCCACGCCGUAAACGAUGGAUACUAGCUGUUGG
RNAcentral lists this ribosomal RNA (700 nucleotides) under Flavobacterium sp. E152R. RNAcentral's name for it is "bacterial SSU rRNA". It matches the Rfam family "Bacterial small subunit ribosomal RNA", at positions 128 to 826 of the family's 1533-position model. The record is from RNAcentral. Lineage: Bacteria; Pseudomonadati; Bacteroidota; Flavobacteriia; Flavobacteriales; Flavobacteriaceae.